Molecule: long non-coding RNA, 480 nt
Organism: Bombina bombina (fire-bellied toad)
Lineage: Eukaryota; Metazoa; Chordata; Amphibia; Anura; Bombinatoridae
Exons: 2
Source: RefSeq, a predicted model, not a curated record
CCGAGAAUAAAGAUUGUCUGACAGUGUCUACGUGCAACUCAUCCAUGUCCUACUGUACCUCGACCGUCGUGAAGUUCCUCUUUAUUAAGUCUGUAACUAAAGGAUGCGUCUCCAGUUGUGUUUCAGGAAGUGAAAGUAUUGUUAUAUUUUCUGGUUCACAAACCUGCUGCAGUACCAACCUCUGUAAUAACAGGACUGUCCAAGAUUUACUGAAUUCAGGAAACAGCAAACACAGUUUGACCAAUAGUAUUUUCCUAAUUGUGAGCAUCACCAGCCUAAUGAGCACUGCUCUCACUAUGGGACUUUAAUACAUUUCAGACAAUGGACAAACAAGUAUUUUAACCAUUUUGUAAUUUGAUAUUUAAACAGAUAAAGUCCAAUGGAACUUAUUUGGCAAACAAGAUCACCUAUUGAUGGAACAGGAGCUGUAAACAAAACAUUUAAAAUAUUUGUACAAAUAAAUGUGUGAUUAUUAAAGUA